RNAcentral lists this ribosomal RNA (251 nucleotides) under Paroedura masobe. Its description in RNAcentral is "partial large subunit ribosomal RNA". Lineage: Eukaryota; Metazoa; Chordata; Lepidosauria; Squamata; Gekkonidae. The record is from RNAcentral.
UAAACAAGCCGCUACAGCACACCAGACACAGCUUACAAACCCAAUGCUGCUAACACACCAAAUAGCUAGGCCUGCACUUUUAGUUGGGGCGACUACGGAGCGAAAUGAAACCUCCACUACCAGGACUAACCAUCCACUUAAGGCCAACAAGCCAAAAGCAAGCACCACCACACGACCCAGUACAACUGAGCAACGAACCAAGCUACCCCGGGGAUAACAGCGCCAUCCUCUCCAAGAGUCCCUAUCGACGA